RNAcentral lists this small RNA (501 nucleotides) under Pongo abelii (Sumatran orangutan). RNAcentral describes it as "processed transcript". The record is from RNAcentral. Lineage: Eukaryota; Metazoa; Chordata; Mammalia; Primates; Hominidae.
AGGGCCGGGGUCCUUUGCAGACGGGGCUCAAGACAGCAGUAGAAGGGCUCCAGCUCCAAAACUGGGAACGUUUGGUGUGUGGGAUGGAAAGCGCAGAGCGGGACAGGCAGACGAUGGUGCCAUCAGAGUCUGGAAGAAUUUUGCUGAUUUGGAAAAGAACCCAGAGAUGGUGACCGCGUGGCAGGGGCUCUCAGACAUGCUGCCAACGACGCGAGGAGCUGGGAUGGUGGUGGACUGGGAGCAGGAGACUGGCCUCCUCAUGAGCUCGGGAGACGUGCGGAUUGUCCGGAUCUGGGACACAGACCGUGAGAUGAAGGUGCAGGACAUCCCCACGGGCGCAGACAGCUGCGUGACGAGUCUGUCCUGUGAUUCGCACCGCUCACUCAUCGUGGCUGGCCUCGGUGACGGCUCCAUCCGCGUCUACGACAGAAGGAUGGCACUCAGCGAAUGCCGCGUCAUGACGUACCGGGAGCACACAGCCUGGGUGGUAAAGGCCUCCCU